This is a long non-coding RNA of Daphnia carinata, 663 nucleotides long. RefSeq lists it as uncharacterized. The record is from RefSeq and is a predicted model, not a curated record. NCBI's taxonomy places the organism in Eukaryota, Metazoa, Arthropoda, Branchiopoda, Diplostraca, Daphniidae. The transcript has 5 exons.
AGCCUUAAAGACUCUUUGACGCAACAGUCCAGGUACCUAAGAUCAGUCAAGUCUUGCGUUGUACACGGGCGAUCCGAGUUGCCAAAAACUGCGUUCAGCUCAUCGAAUAACAAUUUCUUAACGAAAAAUUUUGGGGCCGGAUAUCUUGACAUGUUGUAAAGGAACCAUGUCAAACCUAAAGCAGACGUUUCGUGACCCUACGAGGACGGGCUGUUAAAGUCGGAUAUUUUUUCCCAACAAUUAAAUGUCUCCUUUAGGAUAAGGUCAAUGAAGCCUAAUUUCUUUCCUGAAAUAUUUAGGAAAUGAUUAAGCUUAUAUCUUACGACAGUUCCCGAUCAUUCUGAAUUACUUGGCGUAGUAUUACCCAUGUUACCAACUUCGCUAUUCGACGGACCAGAAGUCGAGCUAGGCAUACCUUAUUGCUGAUGUCACUGAUGCCACUAGCGAAUCGUGCAUCAUCCCGACCCAUCGCGGUGAAUUUAAACCAACUGCUUUUACACCAAGGUCGUGAGAUGCGGAACAGCUAUACGUGAAGUGAAUCAACAAUUUUGAAAAGUGCACUAACCCUUCACAAUUAAUCAACAAACUCUGCAUCUCUUUUUGUGAAAACGACUUGCACUCCAAGAUAGUUCCUUGUUAAAUAUGUUCGGGUAAUAACGUUAA